ACAGGGAAGAUACAGGUAACUAACACACUGUUACAGGGGAAGAUACAGGUAACUAACACACUGUUACACUGUUACAGGGAAGAUACAGGUAACUAACACACUGUUACAGGGAAGAUACAGGUAACUAACACACUGUUACAGGGAAGAUACAGGUAACUAACACACUGCUACACUGUUACAGGGAAGAUACAGGUAACUAACACACUGCUAUAGGGGAAGAUACAGGUAACUAACACACUGUUACAGGGAAGAUACAGGUAACUAACACACUGUUACAGGGAAGAUACAGGUAACUAACACACUGUUACACUGCUACAGGGGA
Oncorhynchus tshawytscha (Chinook salmon) is the source of this 322-nucleotide long non-coding RNA. The record is from Ensembl. NCBI's taxonomy places the organism in Eukaryota, Metazoa, Chordata, Actinopteri, Salmoniformes, Salmonidae.